CCUGAUGCAGCAACGCCGCGUGAGGGACGACGGCCUUCGGGUUGUAAACCUCUUUUAGCAAGGAAGAAGCGAGAGUGACGGUACUUGCAGAAAAAGCGCCGGCUAACUACGUGCCAGCAGCCGCGGUAAUACGUAGGGCGCAAGCGUUAUCCGGAAUUAUUGGGCGUAAAGAGCUCGUAGGCGGUUUGUCGCGUCUGCUGUGAAAUCCCGAGGCUCAACCUCGGGUCUGCAGUGGGUACGGGCAGACUAGAGUGCGGUAGGGGAGAUUGGAAUUCCUGGUGUAGCGGUGGAAUGCGCAGAUAUCAGGAGGAACACCGAUGGCGAAGGCAGAUCUCUGGGCCGUAACUGACGCUGAGGAGCGAAAGGGUGGGGAGCAAACAGGCUUAGAUACCCUGGUAGUCCACCCCGUAAACGUUGGGAACUAGUUGUGGGGUCCAUUCCACGGAUUCCGUGACGCAGCUAACGCAUUAAGUUCCCCGCCUGGGGAGUACGGCCGCAAGGCUAAAACUCAAAGGAAUUGACGGGGACCCGCACAAGCGGCGGAGCAUGCGGAUUAAUUCGAUGCAACGCGAAGAACCUUACCAAGGCUUGACAUAUGGAGGAAACGUGCAGAAAUGUACGCCCCGCAAGGU
RNAcentral lists this ribosomal RNA (632 nucleotides) under Microbacterium sp. So2Pw_1239. RNAcentral describes it as "bacterial SSU rRNA". It matches the Rfam family "Bacterial small subunit ribosomal RNA", at positions 382 to 1025 of the family's 1533-position model. The record is from RNAcentral. Lineage: Bacteria; Bacillati; Actinomycetota; Actinomycetes; Micrococcales; Microbacteriaceae.